RNAcentral lists this ribosomal RNA (322 nucleotides) under uncultured eukaryote. Its description in RNAcentral is "partial 18S ribosomal RNA". It matches the Rfam family "Eukaryotic small subunit ribosomal RNA", at positions 1470 to 1796 of the family's 1831-position model. The record is from RNAcentral.
CCCUUAGAUGUUCUGGGCCGCACGCGUGCUACACUGAGUGGAUCAGCGGGUCAGGUUGCGCGAAAGUGUUUCCUAAUCUUUAAAUCCGCUCGUGAUGGGGAUUGACGGUUGCAAUUUUCCGUCAUGAACGAGGAAUACCUUGUAAGCGCGGGUCAUCAUCCCGCGCUGAAUACGUCCCUGCCCUUUGUACACACCGCCCGUCGCUCCUACCGAUUGAGUGGUCCGGUGAGGCUUUGGGAUCUGAGCGGAAAGAGCGUAUCGCUGUUUCUGCCCGGAAAACUCAGUCGAACCUUAUCAUUUAGAGGAAGGAGAAGUCGUAACA